CAUUUUGGCGGCUGUACGUGGGAGACCUUCGUGUCUGCCGAGUCAAUUCCCCUCGGAUUCCAACCUGCGUACAGCUGCCACCUUU
This 85-nucleotide non-coding RNA is filed under the name Pseudomonas sp. NFPP28. The record is from RNAcentral. Lineage: Bacteria; Pseudomonadati; Pseudomonadota; Gammaproteobacteria; Pseudomonadales; Pseudomonadaceae.